RNAcentral lists this ribosomal RNA (561 nucleotides) under Terrazoanthus sinnigeri. RNAcentral's name for it is "partial 16S ribosomal RNA". It matches the Rfam family "Bacterial large subunit ribosomal RNA", at positions 1848 to 2436 of the family's 2925-position model. The record is from RNAcentral. Lineage: Eukaryota; Metazoa; Cnidaria; Anthozoa; Zoantharia; Hydrozoanthidae.
GAGGGUGAGGCCUGCCCAAUGGUUGUAUCUAAAAGCGGUUGAUAAAAGUCGACCUCGUAAGGACAAUUGAAUGGCCGCGGUAACACUGACCGUGAUAAUGUAGCGUAAUCAAUAGCCAAUUAAUUGUUGGCCAGUAUGAAUGGCGCCACGAAGGCCCCACUGUCUUAAGGAAAUUCCCAGUGAAAUUGAAUUCGUAGUGAAGAUGCUACGUCCAAUUUGUUAGACGAAAAGACCCCGUUGAGCUUUACUGGGGCACUUACACGGGCCCGGCCUUCCAAACUAGGCUUACGAUGCCUAGGGAUUGGCCGAAUUUAAAUGGGCGGUUUAGACUAUGUGGCAGCCCCCCGUCGGGGCAGAUGAAACCCCACUCCCCCAUGUCAAAGGGGCUAACCCCCCCCUUGGGGGGGACAGUGUAAGUAGGACAGUUUGGUUGGGGCGACCGCCUUUUAAAGAGUAACGAAGGUGCGCUUAAGGUGCGCAAAUAAUGACUGAAGCCUGACUGCGAGGGGGACACCCCGAGCAGACACCCCCAAGCCCGCCCGAAGGGCGGCGGCGGGGUGG